AUGUCGAACCUACAAAGGACAAGUCCAGAACACAAGAUUAUACAUGCCUUUGCCUGUUCCUGUUUGCUCCAUGGGAGAAUAUCACUAUGGACUUUGUCUUUGGUUUGCCAAGAACAGAAUGAGCAAGUGAUGUUGUGUUUGUGGUCAUGGGACAGAUUCUCUAAAAUGGCUCAUUUCAUUCCGUGUGGCAAACCUAUUCUUUCGAGAAGUGGCAAGUUUCGUGUUGCAUUUUGGCUCACUUUGUGGACGCAAUUCAACACUGACUUAAAAUUUUCUAGCACUACCCAUCCACAAACAGAUGGACAAACGGAAGUGGUGACCAAAUUAUUGGGUAAUCUGAUUGGUUGCAUUUGUGGAGAAAGAAAGGGACAAUGGGAUUUGGCUUUAUCACUUGCAGAGUUCUCCUACAACAACUCCAAGCAUAGAUCCAAAGGAAGGAAUCCCUUUUCCAUUAUCUACACUAAAGUUCCAACACAUGUAGUGGACCCGGUGAAGCUACCAUCAAGGGGAAACUCAAAAUCAGCAUUGUCCUUUGUUGAUAAUGACACCGAGUUAUUUGAAGAAAUUCUUGUGUUUCAAAAGUACAAAAUCAGGAAUAUAAACAAUUUGUUGACUGCAAGAAGCUGA
RNAcentral lists this ribosomal RNA (627 nucleotides) under Triticum aestivum (bread wheat). RNAcentral describes it as "partial small subunit ribosomal RNA". Lineage: Eukaryota; Viridiplantae; Streptophyta; Magnoliopsida; Poales; Poaceae. The record is from RNAcentral.